RNAcentral lists this ribosomal RNA (253 nucleotides) under uncultured bacterium. RNAcentral's name for it is "partial 16S ribosomal RNA". It matches the Rfam family "Bacterial small subunit ribosomal RNA", at positions 524 to 776 of the family's 1533-position model. The record is from RNAcentral.
GACGAACCGAGCGAACGUUAUUCGGAAUCACUGGGCUUAAAGAGCGCGCAGGCGGUCGCUCAAGUCGCGUGUGAAAGCCCCCGGCUCAACUGGGGAGGGUCACGCGAUACUGAUCGACUGGAAGGCAGGAGAGGGUAGUGGAAUUCCCGGUGUAGUGGUGAAAUGCGUAGAUACCGGGAGGAACACCAGUGGCGAAGGCGACUACCUGGCCUGUUCUUGACGCUGAGGCGCGAAAGCUAGGGGAGCAAACGGG